RNAcentral lists this ribosomal RNA (381 nucleotides) under uncultured bacterium. RNAcentral's name for it is "partial 16S ribosomal RNA". It matches the Rfam family "Bacterial small subunit ribosomal RNA", at positions 338 to 733 of the family's 1533-position model. The record is from RNAcentral.
CCUACGGGAGACAGCAGUGGGGAAUAUUGCGCAAUGGGCGCAAGCCUGACCCAGCAACGCCGCGUGAAGGAAGAAGGCUUUCGGGUUGUAAACUUCUUUUCUCAGUGACGAAUCAAGUGACGGUACCUGAGGAAUAAGCCACGUCUAACUACGUGCCAGCAGCCGCGGUAAUACGUAGGUGGCAAGCGUUAUCCGGUUUUACUGGGUGUAAAGGGCGUGUAGGCGGGACUGCAAGUCAGAUGUGAAAACCAUGGGCUCAACCUAUGGCCUGCAUUUGAAACUGUAGAUCUGGAGUACUGGAGAGGCAAGUGGAAUUCCUGGUGUAGCGGGGAAAUGCGUAGAUAUUAGGAGGAACACCAGUGGCGAAGGCGGUCUGCUGGA